GUGUCAGCAGCCGCGGUAAUACGUAGGUGGCGAGCGUUGUCCGGAAUUACUGGGUGUAAAGGGCGUGUAGGCGGGGAUGCAAGUCAGAUGUGAAAUACCGCGGCUUAACCGCGGGGCUGCAUCUGAAACUGUGUCUCUUGAGUGUCGGAGAGGAAAGCGGAAUUCCUAGUGUAGCGGUGAAAUGCGUAGAUAUUAGGAAGAACACCAGUGGCGAAGGCGGCUUUCCGGACGACAACUGACGCUGAGGCGCGAAAGCGUGGGGAGCAAACAGGAUUAGAUACCCUGGUAGUCCACGCUGUAAACGAUGGAUACUAGGUGUAGGAGGUAUCGACCCCUUCUGUGCCGGAGUUAACACAAUAAGUAUCCCGCCUGGGGAGUACGGCCGCAAGGUUGAAACUUAAAUGAAUUGGCGG
This 413-nucleotide ribosomal RNA is filed under the name uncultured bacterium. RNAcentral's name for it is "bacterial SSU rRNA". It matches the Rfam family "Bacterial small subunit ribosomal RNA", at positions 505 to 916 of the family's 1533-position model. The record is from RNAcentral.